This is a non-coding RNA of Pelobates cultripes (western spadefoot toad), 821 nucleotides long. Lineage: Eukaryota; Metazoa; Chordata; Amphibia; Anura; Pelobatidae. The record is from the annotation of a GenBank genome assembly.
CUUAUAAACAAUAUCCAAUAAUAACAAAUCAUCUAUCUUAUCUGAACAUAUUUUAACCUAUAGAUAGCUAGCUGGUGUAAUGGUGGAGUACUCUUUAUUCUCAUGUUACCAUACAUGGUCAAGCCUUGCACUAAGCUAAAUUUCAGUUUAUCUAUGCUGUUAGAAUUGAGAAAGUUAACUACACACUUACAAUUAAAUAUGUUGCCACACAGUUAGGAAUACAGAAGUAGAAAACAGGAAAUAAGACCAACCCCCUUUAGAUAGUGAAGUUUAUAGUUCUCUGUCUAGGGUUAUAUUCACUAAGCAUUACAUAGGUAAAGUGCAUUAUUCCCAUCAAUUCUAUCACUGACCAUCUAAUUCUUCAUGCCCCUUUUUUUAGGCAUGCUUGUCCCUUCGGGCAGUUCUGGUUAUCUGAUUCACAUCAGUGGCCCAACUUUUGAUCCUGCUUCACCUGAUACUGCUUUUAGUGGGUAUGGAUUUACUUGAAAAAUAAAAGCGAGAGAUUAGCAUAGUGAAUUGGAAAAAAAGAUCACUAAUGUGAGGAUUUUGGUUAUUCAUUAUUAUAUGUAAUACUUAAUAUUUCCAAGAUUCCAAAAUUCCCAAAUAUCUAAAUUAAUACCAGAUAUCUAAAUUAAAACUUUACAGGUUGCUCCCAAAGUUACUUAUGAAAUAGAGGGAAUCCAAAAUGUAGUCCACUCACCAUGUGGACUAUUCCAAAAUGGAGUUAGUCACAUGGGGCAUGAAAAUAACACUCUCCUAAAAGUAUUACCUCAACAAAUUUCUAAAUAUAAGAAAACAAGUACACUCAAAGAGGUAUGAUU